Long non-coding RNA from Syngnathoides biaculeatus (alligator pipefish), 273 nucleotides. RefSeq lists it as uncharacterized. The transcript has 3 exons. NCBI's taxonomy places the organism in Eukaryota, Metazoa, Chordata, Actinopteri, Syngnathiformes, Syngnathidae. The record is from RefSeq and is a predicted model, not a curated record.
CACCAAUGAGCACGGAGACCAGGAUGGAGCAAGUCGCUGGCAGCUUCUUGGAAACGUGGACCGUCGGUUUCAAUGAUGUUCGAGCUCUUGCGCACACAAGAGCCUUCGCAAUGACGUCACCCAGCUUCUAUCACCUCGGGGGUCUAUAAAGUCGAUAGGUUCAGAGAAUGGGAGCUAUCUGGACUGACAUGGCCACCAUGCAGAAAGGAGUUUCCCCUUCUUCACUGUUGCAAGAGCCCUUGUGUGAACUGUCCUGGACCUGUUGAAUCUGAU